Molecule: long non-coding RNA, 286 nt
Filed under: Sus scrofa (pig)
Lineage: Eukaryota; Metazoa; Chordata; Mammalia; Artiodactyla; Suidae
Description: lncRNA (ENSSSCG00025012768.1)
Source: RNAcentral
AAGAAGCAAGAAUGGUCAUGUCAUGGUAGACCAAAUGAGAUGUGACUGAAAGGGGAAAAUCCAUCAGCUGGGUGCCCUACCCAUCGUAGGAAACAGGAAUUGGAAUCAAUAGCGGAUACUGAAUAUCCAGUUGAAUGAAUGACUGGCCUGAAUAUCUUUCUGGAAGAAGUAUUAUUAGCUGUAUGAGGUAAUGCUUAAUUUGUUUUAAAUUUAUGCUCUCACGUUUUAAAGCAUGAUUCCUUAACCCAGUAUUCUAGCAUUGGUAAAUAAACCUUAUAGAUACCAC